This 73-nucleotide transfer RNA is filed under the name Fasciola hepatica (liver fluke). It matches the Rfam family "tRNA". Rfam says of the family: Transfer RNA (tRNA) molecules are approximately 80 nucleotides in length. Their secondary structure includes four short double-helical elements and three loops (D, anti-codon, and T loops). The record is from Rfam by way of RNAcentral. Lineage: Eukaryota; Metazoa; Platyhelminthes; Trematoda; Plagiorchiida; Fasciolidae.
ACUGCGAUAGCCCAGCUGACAGAGCAUCUGCCCGAUGAGCGGAAUGUCGCCGGUUCGCUUCCGGCUCUCGGUA